CUUCGCCAAAUACCAACCCACGCAGUAGCCCCCAACACUCAUCAGUAUGUAGAAAGCUCAUUUGGUGAAUGAUCGAAUUAGGAUCAGCAUACUCAGCAACAUUUUCUAGUCGACUGGUCAACAAGAUUCGGCUUCCAUUACUGUCAUGUGGAAGCAAGCUUUUGACUUUUAACACAAUCUCUCCAUCCCACACAUCGUCCAAGACAAUAAGGUAUCUCUUGUCCUUCAAACGUUUAUAUAGAUUCUCAACUACUUUUUCUGCGCUCUCUUGGCUUGAAUCAUACUUGAGGUCUCUUAUGGAAUGCAGAAGGCGACUGAGUACCUCUUCUUCAUAAUAGUUUUGUGAUACCAUUGCCCACGCACGAACAUCGAAGUGAGAUGCAAUAACCAGGUCAUUAUAAAUUUUUCUUGCUAGUGUAGACUUGCCAAGGCCUGCCAUCCCAAAAACUGAGAUGAUACAGAGUUCUGAUUUCGGAAGGCUCAGCAGAUGCUUAGUACGUGAAAUAUCAUCUUCCAUUCCGACAAUAGCAGUCCUGUUAUUGGAACGAGCAGGAGGAUAAGUGUUCUUUGAUUGCACAAUUUCUAUUUCGUUCCUCUCCAUCAUCUUCACCAAAUCUUCUGAAAUGGAAGCGACUUCUUCUAUUACCUCCUGCAAGCAUUCAUAUUUCUGCUCCCAUUCUGAGACUAUUUGAUUCGACAUAUUGGAUUCAAUUACAUCUUCAGCUUCAUACGCUGCAUAUCUGAUUCUUCCUUCCAAACCAAUAAUAUUCUCGCUACUUUUUGGUGAAAUAACAUCCAGAAAAUCCACCAAGAAGUUAACCUUUUCAUGGAGAGAUCUCAUGAUCUGCUGCUCUGUAUGAUGAAGAUUUAGAGAUUGAUCCUGAGGAUGCAGGAUCUGCUCUAAUGUUUGAGCAAGUGAAAGUAGAGAUGCAUAAGCCAUCUCAAUGGAAAGAGGAGUUUAGGCAAUGUCUCAAAAGGAUUUAAGGCAACUUUGGGGUCUCAAUGGAAAACGAAGGUUAGGCAAU
RNAcentral lists this long non-coding RNA (1025 nucleotides) under Olea europaea subsp. europaea. The record is from RNAcentral. Lineage: Eukaryota; Viridiplantae; Streptophyta; Magnoliopsida; Lamiales; Oleaceae.